Long non-coding RNA from Carassius carassius (crucian carp), 558 nucleotides. RefSeq lists it as uncharacterized. Lineage: Eukaryota; Metazoa; Chordata; Actinopteri; Cypriniformes; Cyprinidae. The record is from RefSeq and is a predicted model, not a curated record. The transcript has 3 exons.
UCAGUUCAGAGUCAACAAUUCGUAUGCAUGGCAGGAUCUUACAGGAAAGUGCAGUUUGUUCCAGUUUAUUGAACCCUUGAAUACUUACAGAACUACCGAUGCUGUUGAGAUUGUGAAUGUUUAACGUCAUUCUUUCCUCUAAAAGCAUAAGACAGCAUAACAGUGUUGUGAUUUAGCAUUGCAGGAUAUCACAACCCAUCACUCCAAAGGCAGAAGGCUGUAUAUUUGAAACCCUCUCGCUGCAGUGGAGUUUAAAAGCACAUGUUGGCCUCUCUAUUGAUACCGGGACUUGAACCCACAGUGGUUGAACAACUUGAGUGAAGUGCAACCUGAAGUUUCUUCAGUGAGGCCCUCAAAACACACAUCUGGUUCGCAAGGAACUUUUCCGUGGUCACCGUCAAUGAUUUCACAGUUGAGAGCGAAAUGUCAGGAAACCCACACACAUCUCAGAGGCUGGAACCCCCACAUGAUUUUUCAUACCUGACUCAUAUCCUGUUGAAAGAACAAACUGUACAACAUCUUGCAUUAUCAAACUCUCCAUAUGUGUCCUUUAUAAUA